This 427-nucleotide ribosomal RNA is filed under the name uncultured bacterium. Its description in RNAcentral is "partial 16S ribosomal RNA". It matches the Rfam family "Bacterial small subunit ribosomal RNA", at positions 355 to 774 of the family's 1533-position model. The record is from RNAcentral.
UGGGGAAUAUUGCACAAUGGGCGCAAGCCUGAUGCAGCCAUGCCGCGUGUAUGAAGAAGGCCUUCGGGUUGUAAAGUACUUUCAGCGGGGAGGAAGGUGUUGUGGUUAAUAACCACAGCAAUUGACGUUACCCGCAGAAGAAGCACCGGCUAACUCCGUGCCAGCAGCCGCGGUAAUACGGAGGGUGCAAGCGUUAAUCGGAAUUACUGGGCGUAAAGCGCACGCAGGCGGUCUGUCAAGUCGGAUGUGAAAGCCCCGGGCUCAACCUGGGAACUGCAUCCGAAACUGGCAGGCUUGAGUCUUGUAGAGGGGGGUAGAAUUCCAGGUGUAGCGGUGAAAUGCGUAGAGAUCUGGAGGAAUACCGGUGGCGAAGGCGGCCCCCUGGACAAAGACUGACGCUCAGGUGCGAAAGCGUGGGGAGCAAACA